UCCUCCCUCUGGCGGCGUGCUUAACACAUGCAAGUCGAACGGUGAAGCGCCUUCCUUUUUGGUGGGUGUGGAUGAGUGGCGAACGGGUGAGGAACACGUGAGUAACCUGCCCCCUUCUUCUGGAUAACCGCAUGAAAGUGUGGCUAAUACGGGAUAUUCUGGGUCUGUCGCAUGAUGGGUCUGGGAAAGAUAUUGUUUCGGUGGGGGAUGGGCUCGCGGCCUAUCAGCUUGUUGGUGGGGUGAUGGCCUACCAAGGCGGUGACGGGUAGCCGGCCUGAGAGGGUGGACGGUCACACUGGGACUGAGACACGGCCCAGACUCCUACGGGAGGCAGCAGUGGGGAAUAUUGCACAAUGGGCGCAAGCCUGAUGCAGCGACGCCGCGUGAGGGAUGGAGGCCUUCGGGUUGUGAACCUCUUUCGCCAGUGAAGCAGGCCUGCCUCGUUUGUGGGUGGGUUGACGGUAGCUGGAUAAGAAGCGCCGGCUAACUACGUG
This 494-nucleotide ribosomal RNA is filed under the name uncultured bacterium. RNAcentral's name for it is "partial 16S ribosomal RNA". It matches the Rfam family "Bacterial small subunit ribosomal RNA", at positions 36 to 507 of the family's 1533-position model. The record is from RNAcentral.